CUAGCUAGCUAAUAUUGGCAUUUCCUAAAUUAGCCAUGGAUGAAGAUAGGGAUUUGGACUUGUGGUUUUACUUAAUUCUCCAUACUGGCCAAUGAUUAUAAUGGCGAUUCUGAUCCAACUAUAAAAUACAUUGUGCCCCCGGCCUAAAUGUAUGGAAGUUCAAUAUAAAGCUAGAUGUAGAAGGCUAAUGUUAACUAGCUAACGUUGCUCAUGAAUGGAAGUUAUACUAGCGAGCAAGCAUUUUAGCUAGAUAGCCUAGGACAACAACAAAUAAAAGCGUGUACUGUAUGAAAGAGUCAUAGACCGUUUCAUCAACAUGAAAAAUAGGAGGAUUGCAUUGGCGUUUCUCCAUAAGUAAGGUAUUUUUCCUUAGCUCUGAGAGCUUUUUCAUCUUGAGGGGGAGAGAAAGGAGAUUUGGCAUGGGUCCCCAGUUCCUCAAAAAGUUACACAGCUGCACCAUCGAGAGCAUCCUCACCGGUUGCAUCACCGCCUGGUAUGGCAACUGCUCGGCAUUCCCGACCAUAAUGCGCUACAGAGGAUAGUGCGUAUGGCCCAGUACAUCACUGGGGCCAAGCUUCCUGCCAUCCAAGACCUACAGUGCCUUGCGAAAGUAUUUGGCCCCCUUGAACUUUGUUCACAAAUGCUCUCCAUCCAACCUCACUGAGCUCGAGCUGUUUUGCAAGGAGGAAUGGGAAAAAAUGUCAGUCUCUCGAUGUGCAAAACUGAUAAGAGACAUACCCCAAGCGACUUACAGCUGUAAUCGCAGCAAAAGGUGGCGCUACAAAGUAUUAACUUAAGGGGGCUGAAUAAUUUUGCACGCCCA
Molecule: long non-coding RNA, 823 nt
Organism: Oncorhynchus tshawytscha (Chinook salmon)
Lineage: Eukaryota; Metazoa; Chordata; Actinopteri; Salmoniformes; Salmonidae
Source: Ensembl